This 3255-nucleotide long non-coding RNA is filed under the name Strigops habroptila (Kakapo). Its description in RNAcentral is "lncRNA (ENSSHBG00005015169.1)". Lineage: Eukaryota; Metazoa; Chordata; Aves; Psittaciformes; Psittacidae. The record is from RNAcentral.
CAGAGAAAGGUGCUGGGGCAAACAGGGUGGGCUGGCUGCAGCGAGCAGGGAGGGGACAUGGAGAACACCUUUACAGAGCUCCUUCUCCGGCCCUUGGUAUGGAUGGAGCCCAGCUCUGCUCUUCUCCAACCAGGCUGCGGUCUGACCCUCUGCUCCCUGCAAUGGGGAGCCCCUUGUAGCCCAGCAGUGCCGCAUGCCAGGCAGAGCUGGGCUGUUGGGGCACGCACGGGGCUGUGUCUGCUGAAGCAGGGCCAGGGCAAAGGUUUCUUUGGCUCUCUGAGUGUUUGGCGCAGACCUGAGGUGGAAGCGCGAGGUGGAAGGCGGUGAGGAGGAAGGGGUCAGGCUGGGGAAGGGGCCCUGGCUGGGCUGGGGAAGCUGUGCUGUGCUGGUGCGUCCCCCUUGGACUCACAACGUGGGUGAAAUGGGCGAGCCAGGGCUGAUCUCACCUCCUGGGUGUGCCGGGCUCUGCAUGCACAUGUGUUGGUAUGGGCUGUGGGGCCUUGCCACAGUCCCUCACUGGCACCCUGGUGAGCAGCCCCCUUCUGCUGGGGAGCACGGAGUGGGUGGCAUGGAGGAGGAUGGCCACCCUCACCUGCGUCCCCCUGGGGAGGCAGUGGUGGGCAGGGACCAUGGGAUGGAGUGCUUUGCCAUGGUGGGGAGCUAGGGGGGGUAUUUGGCUGGCAGGACUUGGGGGUGAAGCUGCAGGCACCCUUGUUGAUGAAGCUCUGUUUGCAGGGAGCCUGAGCUGCCCCUGUGCCCUGCCUGCUGCCCUGCAUGGACAGCCGGGUGCAGGAUGGGGCUGAGGCAUCGCUGGAGGGAUGCCCAAAGGCUGAGGAGUUGGAGAAGCAGCGCCCGGUGGCACAGUGGACGGUGGCAGAGGCGGGCGCCUGGCUGGCUGCGCGCAGUGGGGCUGGGGAGCUGGUGGAGCUGGCAAAUGAGCACGACGUCUCGGGCCGGGUCCUGCUGCGGCUGACGGAGGGGACCCUGCGGCGCAUGGGGGUGACCCCGCGGAGCCGGCGCCGGGAGCUGCUGCGGGAGCUGCUGCAGCUGCGGCUGCAGCAGGAGCUGGAGGAGCUGCUGAGCAUCGUUGGCCAGUGAAGACGAUGUCCCUCUGGAUGUCCUGGAGACUGCAGGAGGAGAGACAAUGCUGUGGGAGGACACAGCAGCAGCUGGGACUGAGCACCUGAUGCAGGAGUGAUGCUAGAGGGAGCCUUGAGGUGACUGUGUCCCCCCUGGAGAAGCCCAAAGCUGGCUGAUGAUGCUGGGAGAGGUGGCCACCGGGCCCUGGGUGGCACAAGUUGAAGGGUGGCUGCUGGCUCCCAUGGGGUCCUAUCGGCUCUGGCAUGCUGCAAGCAGCCCUACCUGCCCCCCACGAUGCUGCUUCAACCACGAGGCAGCCCGGCCCCAGGAGUGACCCUCCAGUCAGUCUGUCUGUCCGUGGCGUAGCGGGGCAAGUUCACAAGUUGCUGUGUAGGGGCAACCUGUCUCCUUGGUGCCCCGGGGCUGGCAGGAGCAGGGCAGCAGAGCCCAGCGCAGAGCUGGUCCCAAUAAACACUAUCCUGGUAAGCAGAGAGGGGUCCCCACUCUGAUGACCUAGAAAAGGGCUGAAAGCCCAAACCCACCGUGCCACAGCCCGGGGCAGGGAGUCUGCAGCCUCUUCUCCCCUGGUAUUUUCCUGGCCCUAAACUUCUGCACUGGAGGGAAGGGCCGGCCAUGAACUGCAGGGCAGGAUCCAUCCCCAGGACCCGAUUAUCCAGGGAAGAAGAGGGGGCCAAGCACUCCUUCCCCCCACAGUACCCUCCUGUGGUCUCCUAAAUCUGAUGUGGUCGAAGGGUCUGGCUGCAUCCUGUGGACCCCCUGAAGAGGGAGGGUGUCCAGGAGGUGGGAAGCCCCUGCGCAGGCAGCAUCAGCUGGGUAGCGCAGAGGCGUGUCUGGGGUGAGCAGGUUUCAUAGGAUCAUAGAUUCCUAGAAUCCCAGGUUGGAAAGGACCUCAAGGAUAAUCUGUUCUAACCUUUGCAGGCAAAGCGUGACCUAGACUUGAUGCCCCAGCACCCUGUCCAGCUGAAUCUUAACAGUGUCCAGUUUUGGGGAGUCACGACUUCCCUGGGGAGAUUAUUCCAAAGGCUGGUUUUUCUCAUUGUGAAAAAUUGUCCUCUUGUGUCCAGUCGGAAUCUCCCCAGGAGUAACUUGUGCCCAUCACCCCUUGUCUUUUCCAUGGGACUCCUUGUAAAAAGGGAUUCUUUUUGUAGCGAACUUUAAAUAUUGGAACAGUUUGGGGAUGCAGAGCUCUGAUUGGGGUGGGGGGUGAUGCUCAUGGGGUGCCUUUGGGAUUCCCCUAAGCAGCCCUGGAUCAGCCCCCCGGAGUGACCAGCAGCGGUGAGGUGUGGAGGUGAUGAUGGGGGGGGCUGUCAGGGGACAGAGCGUCACCCCGAGGUGAGCAAAAGGGAUGUUGUGGCUGCAGGGACAUGGCUGGAAAGGCCACGAGGUGCACACUGGGGUGGAGGCACCCAUCCGGAAGUGGCUGGCAGAGGGGGUCUCUCCAGCUCUGGCAUGGGCAUGGACACAGACCUUUCUGUGGCUGAUGUCCCCAUGGUGUCGCCCGCUUCAUUCAGUGCCUCGGGGGGGGUUGGUGUUCCUUCUCCCCACUGCUGGCUGGUUGUGAUGGGAGAUCCCAGCUCCUCCUGGCCCCAGCCUUGUGCCCGGCCACGUUUCUGUGGUGAGGUUCUUCGUGAUGACGUGGGGGAUUAGAUGAGCAGCAGCCUCCACCCUCGCCCCGGGUGUCAGUGUCCCUCCUUUCCUGUCUCCAAACUAAAGCUGAGCACCCAAAAGGUUGCCAGUGCUGGUGCAGAGGGGUGAUAGCCCAGGUUGCUCCUGGGGCCAAAGGCUGCUGCGUUAGUGAUGUGAAAGCCAAAGCUCCAGCCCCUUGGUCCCUCACCAGGGUCGGUGGCCAGAGAGGAGGGAAGAAGGGAGAGAGGGAAGGAGGGAGGGAGAGAGUGAGGUCAGGAGGAGCUGCUGCAGUGGCCAUGGGGACAGGAAAGCAGUGAUGCCAUCCUGCGUGGGUUUGGGUGACAUCCAUCCCACCAGAGAGCUCCAACGCCCCAGCUCUGCCCAGCCCCAGAGGGGAUUGAAGGAGCUUCCAUGAUCGUCAAGUGAAGACCGAGGGGCUGGGAGACCCGAUUUUCCCCAUGCGCUUCCCUUCGGCUCUGUACGUGAUUCCAUUAAAACCAGCCACUUCUCUCCUGGCCCAUUCCCUGC